Molecule: ribosomal RNA, 384 nt
Filed under: uncultured bacterium
Lineage: Bacteria
Description: bacterial SSU rRNA
Rfam family: Bacterial small subunit ribosomal RNA
Source: RNAcentral
AACGAACGCUGGCGGCAUGCCUAACACAUGCAAGUCGAACGAACCCUUCGGGUGAGUGGCGCACGGGUGCGUAACGCGUGGGAACCUGCCCUUAGGUUCGGAAUAACAGUGAGAAAUCGCUGCUAAUACCGGAUAAUGUCUUCGGACCAAAGAUUUAUCGCCUUUGGAUGGGCCCGCGUUGGAUUAGCUAGUUGGUGGGGUAAAGGCUCACCAAGGCGACGAUCCAUAGCUGGUCUUAGAGGAUGAUCAGCCACACUGGGACUGAGACACGGCCCAGACUCCUACGGGAGGCAGCAGUGGGGAAUAUUGCGCAAUGGGCGAAAGCCUGACGCAGCCACGCCGCGUGAGCGAUGAAGGCCUUCGGUCGUAAAGCUCUGUGGGGGA